This 75-nucleotide transfer RNA is filed under the name Candidatus Amoebophilus sp. 36-38. RNAcentral's name for it is "tRNA-Met". It matches the Rfam family "tRNA". Rfam says of the family: Transfer RNA (tRNA) molecules are approximately 80 nucleotides in length. The record is from RNAcentral. Lineage: Bacteria; Pseudomonadati; Bacteroidota; Cytophagia; Cytophagales; Amoebophilaceae.
CGCGGGGUGGAGCAGUGGUAGCUCGUCGGGCUCAUAACCCGAAGGUCACAGGUUCGAAUCCUGUCCCCGCUACUA